UAGAAAUAAGCUUGUCAGUCACUUUGGAUAAAAGUGUCAGCUAAAUGCCAUACA
Astyanax mexicanus (Mexican tetra) is the source of this 54-nucleotide regulatory RNA element. It matches the Rfam family "UnaL2 LINE 3' element". From Rfam's summary of the family: The eel long interspersed element (LINE) UnaL2 and its partner short interspersed element (SINE) share a conserved 3' tail containing a stem-loop that is critical for their retrotransposition. Presumably, the first step of retrotransposition is the recognition of their 3' tails by UnaL2-encoded reverse transcriptase. The record is from Rfam. Lineage: Eukaryota; Metazoa; Chordata; Actinopteri; Characiformes; Acestrorhamphidae.